This 373-nucleotide ribosomal RNA is filed under the name uncultured organism. RNAcentral describes it as "partial 16S ribosomal RNA". It matches the Rfam family "Bacterial small subunit ribosomal RNA", at positions 527 to 896 of the family's 1533-position model. The record is from RNAcentral.
GUAGGUGGCAAGCGUUGUCCGGAAUUAUUGGGCGUAAAGCGCGCGCAGGCGGUUCUUUAAGUCUGAUGUGAAAGCCCACGGCUCAACCGUGGAGGGUCAUUGGAAACUGGAGAACUUGAGUACAGAAGAGGAAAGCGGAAUUCCACGUGUAGCGGUGAAAUGCGUAGAGAUGUGGAGGAACACCAGUGGCGAAGGCGGCUUUCUGGUCCGUAACUGACGCUGAGGGGCGAAAGCGUGGGGAGCAAACAGGGAUUAGAUACCCUGGUAGUCCACGCCGUAAACGAUGAGUGCUAAGUGUUAGGGGGUUUCCCGCCCCUUAGUGCUGCAGCUAACGCAUUAAGCACUCCGCCUGGGGAGUACGGCCGCAAGGCUG